Molecule: transfer RNA, 77 nt
Filed under: Cellulosilyticum lentocellum DSM 5427
Lineage: Bacteria; Bacillati; Bacillota; Clostridia; Lachnospirales; Cellulosilyticaceae
Description: tRNA-Met
Rfam family: tRNA
About the family: Transfer RNA (tRNA) molecules are approximately 80 nucleotides in length. Their secondary structure includes four short double-helical elements and three loops (D, anti-codon, and T loops). Further hydrogen bonds mediate the characteristic L-shaped molecular structure. tRNAs have two regions of fundamental functional importance: the anti-codon, which is responsible for specific mRNA codon recognition, and the 3' end, to which the tRNAs corresponding amino acid is attached (by aminoacyl-tRNA synthetases). tRNAs cope with the degeneracy of the genetic code in two manners: having more than one tRNA (with a specific anti-codon) for a particular amino acid; and 'wobble' base-pairing, i.e. permitting non-standard base-pairing at the 3rd anti-codon position.
Source: RNAcentral
GGCGGAAUAGCUCAGUUGGCUAGAGCACACGGUUCAUACCCGUGGUGUCGGGGGUUCAAAUCCCUCUUCCGCUACUA